RNAcentral lists this ribosomal RNA (497 nucleotides) under uncultured bacterium. Its description in RNAcentral is "partial 16S ribosomal RNA". It matches the Rfam family "Bacterial small subunit ribosomal RNA", at positions 28 to 507 of the family's 1533-position model. The record is from RNAcentral.
GAUGAACGCUGGCGGCGUGCCUAAUACAUGCCAGUCGAGCGAACGGACGAGAAGCUUUCUUCUCUGAUGUUAGCGGCGGACGGGUGAGUAACACGUGUAUAACCUACCUAUAAUACUUGGAUAACUUCGUGAAACCGGAGCUAAUACCGUCUCAUAUUUUGAACCGCAUGGUUCAAAAGUGAAAUACGGUCUUUCUGUCUCUUAUAGAUGUAUCCGCGCUUCAUUAGCUAGUUGGUAAGUUAAAGGCUUACCAAGGCAACGAUGCAUAGCGGACCUGAGAGGGAGAAAGGCAAAACGGGAAAGGAGACACGGACCAGAAUACUAAGGGAGGCAGAAGAAGGGAAUAUUGCGAAACGGGCGAAAGCAUGACGGAGCAAAGACGCGUGAGUGAUGAAGGUCUGAGGAUCGGAAAACUCUGUUAUGAGGGAAGAAAAUAUGUGUAAGUAAAUGUGCACAUAUUGACGGUACCUAAUAAGAAAGCAACGGCUAACUACGUG